This 503-nucleotide ribosomal RNA is filed under the name Enterococcus faecium. Its description in RNAcentral is "bacterial SSU rRNA". It matches the Rfam family "Bacterial small subunit ribosomal RNA", at positions 16 to 490 of the family's 1533-position model. The record is from RNAcentral. Lineage: Bacteria; Bacillati; Bacillota; Bacilli; Lactobacillales; Enterococcaceae.
AUCAUGGCUCAGGACGAACGCUGGCGGCGUGCCUAAUACAUGCAAGUCGUACGCUUCUUUUUCCACCGGAGCUUGCUCCACCGGAAAAAGAAGAGUGGCGAACGGGUGAGUAACACGUGGGUAACCUGCCCAUCAGAAGGGGAUAACACUUGGAAACAGGUGCUAAUACCGUAUAACAAUCGAAACCGCAUGGUUUUGAUUUGAAAGGCGCUUUCGGGUGUCGCUGAUGGAUGGACCCGCGGUGCAUUAGCUAGUUGGUGAGGUAACGGCUCACCAAGGCCACGAUGCAUAGCCGACCUGAGAGGGUGAUCGGCCACAUUGGGACUGAGACACGGCCCAAACUCCUACGGGAGGCAGCAGUAGGGAAUCUUCGGCAAUGGACGAAAGUCUGACCGAGCAACGCCGCGUGAGUGAAGAAGGUUUUCGGAUCGUAAAACUCUGUUGUUAGAGAAGAACAAGGAUGAGAGGUAACUGUUCAUUCCCCUGACGGUCUACCGAAGCCG